CUCCCUUUAAUCCAUAGCCUGGAACAUGGAUGCCCACAUUUGGGACCUUGAAAACAGGGUACGUGCUUGGAUGGUAGGAUGGCGAGCAAAAGAGUCUGUAAAGCAUGGUUGCCAUAUCUUCCCCAUGCUAUUCACCUCUAGGUUUUGUUAGUUUACAGAGAAGCUUUUUGUUUAUGUUAUUUUAACUUUACGCUUUCAUUUAUAGUUAGGUUUUGCUCUUGUGGACAGACCUGUUACUGUAUCUCCCCCAAUCCGUAUGUCCAAGUCCUGACCCCAAGUACCUCAGAAGGGUCAUUGCAGAUAUAAUCUGUUUGGAUGAGGUCAGUAGGUGGGCCUCAAUCCACUAUGACUGGCAUCCUUAUAAAAAGAGGAAAUUUGGACCCCGGGGGAAUGCCAGAUGAAGAUUAAGGCACAGAUCAAGGCCAGCCUUCUACAAGCCAAAGAAUGCAAAGAUUUCCAGCAAAUCACCAGAAGCUAGGUAAGAGGCAUGGAACAGAUUCUCUCUCAACCCUCAGAAGAGACCUUGCUGAUACUUUGAUCUCAGACUUGCAGCCUCCAGAACUGUGAGACAAUAAAUUUCUGUUGUUCGAGCCAUCCACUUUGUGGUACCUGGUUAUGGCAGCCCUUGGCAACUAAUACCCUGUCCUAGCCAAUUCAGGUCUGGCCAGAAUAACCUUGGCUUAAUCCAGAGCAAUAUUAUUCUUUACCAUUUAGAUAUUCUUACCAUUCAGAUAAUAGAAACUCCACACAUACCCAUGUGCCCACCUGACCUUCUAUCAUAAUCUCCAUCCCCGAUCAGCAGUUUGAGCCAAUCUCCUUUAUCUGGAAAGACUAAGCAAGGAAAUCUUGUGGCUCCCCUCUGAUAGUGUGGCUCUAUCACACAGGAGUGCAUUAGCCACAUUCAAAUGUUGGUUUAUUUUAGGUCCCACAUAGAAUAUUUUCACGCCAGUGGAACUGCUGUGAACAUCUCAGCCAAAAUGUAUUCCCCAUCAUUGACUGCUCCUGGUUAUAAAUCAUCCCUCGUGCCAGAGGACACGAAAUGACAGUGGGAUAGGUAGAAAGCAUACCUUUUGUUCUUGAUGGUCGUAAGAACCACGUCCUUCCUCUUAUUGUGAAUUGCAACAUGCAAAAAGGAGGCCUGCUGCUUGUUCAGGAUGAUGUCAGCAUCAUAACUCAAAAGAAGUGCGACGGCUUUGGCAUGGCCUUCCCUUGCAGCCAAGUGCAGUGCAGUGUUCUUUCAGAGAGAACAGGACACAGAAAAUCCAGUGACAAUGGCUAGUCAUCCUUUGGCUAUCGUACUGCUUUCAUCUUUGAACUGCUUAAAAUAAAUUAUUGACAAACCCAA
Molecule: long non-coding RNA, 1345 nt
Organism: Neofelis nebulosa (Clouded leopard)
Lineage: Eukaryota; Metazoa; Chordata; Mammalia; Carnivora; Felidae
Exons: 2
Source: RefSeq, a predicted model, not a curated record